CCACUGAGAUAAAACCCCAGUCCAUCCCUGCUGUCUUCUACAUUUCCUCUUUCCUUCAUGUUGGGCCUCGUGGAACACAGCACUAACCCAGAAGGAAAACAACUUCUGGGUGACUUUAACUUCAACCAGGAGGAUAACACGGCAGAAUGAAUGGUACCACCCAGCUUUCUGAUCAUCAUGUGAACUGGUUCCCUCUGCUACACUAUUCUGCCAAGAUGUUCUGCCUCGCCUUGAGCCCUGAGGAGCAGAGCCACCAUUUUAUGGACUAAGACCUCUGAAACUGUGAGCCC
Molecule: non-coding RNA, 290 nt
Organism: Ictidomys tridecemlineatus (thirteen-lined ground squirrel)
Lineage: Eukaryota; Metazoa; Chordata; Mammalia; Rodentia; Sciuridae
Source: RefSeq, a predicted model, not a curated record